This 324-nucleotide ribosomal RNA is filed under the name uncultured eukaryote. RNAcentral's name for it is "partial 18S ribosomal RNA". It matches the Rfam family "Eukaryotic small subunit ribosomal RNA", at positions 1470 to 1796 of the family's 1831-position model. The record is from RNAcentral.
CCCUUAGAUGUCCUGGGCCGCACGCGCGCUACACUGACAUGUUCAACAAGCCUCCUAGUUCGACAGGAUUUGGGAAAUCUUUGAACGCAUGUCGUGAUAGGGAUAGAUCAUUGCAAUUAUUGAUCUUGAACGAGGAAUGCCUAGUAGGCGCAAGUCAUCAGCUUGCGUCGAUUACGUCCCUGCCCUUUGUACACACCGCCCGUCGCUCCUACCGAUUGGGUGUGCUGGUGAAAUGUUCGGAUCGGCCGUUUGUCGCGGUUUCCGCGUCAUGUGGCUGAGAAGUUCAUUAAACCCUCCCACCUAGAGGAAGGAGAAGUCGUAACA